AUUGAACGCUGGCAGCAUGCCUUACACAUGCAAGUCGAACGGCAGCACGGGUGCUUGCCCCUGGUGGCGAGUGGCGAACGGGUGAGUAAUACAUCGGAACAUGUCCUGUAGUGGGGGAUAGCCCGGCGAAAGCCGGAUUAAUACCGCAUACGAUCCACGGAUGAAAGCGGGGGACCUUCGGGCCUCGCGCUAUAGGGUUGGCCGAUGGCUGAUUAGCUAGUUGGUGGGGUAAAGGCCUACCAAGGCGACGAUCAGUAGCUGGUCUGAGAGGACGACCAGCCACACUGGGACUGAGACACGGCCCAGACUCCUACGGGAGGCAGCAGUGGGGAAUUUUGGACAAUGGGCGAAAGCCUGAUCCAGCAAUGCCGCGUGUGUGAAGAAGGCCUUCGGGUUGUAAAGCACUUUUGUCCGGAAAGAAAUCCUUGACUCUAAUACAGUCGGGGGAUGACGGUACCGGAAGAAUAAGCACCGGCUAACUACGUG
This 486-nucleotide ribosomal RNA is filed under the name uncultured bacterium. Its description in RNAcentral is "partial 16S ribosomal RNA". It matches the Rfam family "Bacterial small subunit ribosomal RNA", at positions 30 to 507 of the family's 1533-position model. The record is from RNAcentral.